Molecule: ribosomal RNA, 494 nt
Filed under: uncultured bacterium
Lineage: Bacteria
Description: partial 16S ribosomal RNA
Rfam family: Bacterial small subunit ribosomal RNA
Source: RNAcentral
GACGAACGCUGGCGGCGUGCUUAACACAUGCAAGUCGAACGGAAAGGCCUGCUUUCCCUUGUGGAUUGCGGGUACUCGAGUGGCGAACGGGUGAGUAACACGUGAGUGAUCUGCCCCCAACUUGGGUAUAAGCCUGGGAAACUGGGUCUAAUUCCCGAUAGGACUGCAGGGUGGUGCCUGUGGUGGAAAACGAUUUUCUAGUGGUUGGGGAUGAGCUCGCGGCCUAUCAGCUUGUUGGUGGGGUAAUGGCCUACCAAGGCGGCGACGGGUAGCCGGCCUGAGAGGGUGGACGGCCACAUUGGGACUGAGAUACGGCCCAGACUCCUACGGGAGGCAGCAGUGGGGAAUAUUGCACAAUGGGCGGAAGACUGAUGCAGCGACGCCGCGUGGGGGAUGACGGCCUUCGGGUUGUAAACUCCUUUCGACCGCGAGGAAGCCACCUGGUUGGAAGGGUGGUGACGGUAGUGGUAGAAGAAGCACCGGCUAACUACGUG